This 3486-nucleotide unclassified non-coding RNA is filed under the name Mizuhopecten yessoensis (Yesso scallop). RNAcentral's name for it is "down syndrome cell adhesion molecule-like protein 1, transcript variant X4". Lineage: Eukaryota; Metazoa; Mollusca; Bivalvia; Pectinida; Pectinidae. The record is from RNAcentral.
AUGGAUGGCCGGAGUGUUAACCACUCCACCAAUCCGCCCAAUAACACUAGCUUUUAACGUGUACGCACGACUAAGAAUUAGUUGACGUGGCUAUUUGAAAACAAGGAAGUGUUAAGUAGUAGUGGCCGGAAGUUUUGGGUCCUACAAUAUUUAGUUAUCGUCACAGCUCUGAUGACCACUCUAUUAAAGUUUAUAAGAUGUGUACAACACUUCCGGCUGUAUAGCAGAGACGAUGGGGUGCGGACAGGAGGCGAUGUGGUUUAUACUCGUUUUAUUUCCAAUACAAGUGACCGGCAUUGGAGGGACAUGUACAGCCACCCUGAACAACUUCGUCCCUUAUGAAGAAAAAACUAAAGCGACUCUUACCUGUACCAUUGACCAGUGUCAAAACUAUACCGGUGCUUAUCCACACCCAGUGACGUGGUUCAAGUCCAACUCGGAUGUAACCGCUGGUGUGACGUCAACAGAGCUCCCCAACAACGGCAGUCGGAGCACCCUGGUGAUGACCUUACAAAGGUCAGACAACACCAAGGUGAUAAAAUGCAGCUCACCUGCCGCCGAGUCGGUUUCAAAAACAUUAAAUGUGACGUAUGGACCGAGAUCCGUGUCUUUGUCGCCCAGCACUUCCGUCUACGAGCGGACGGAGGGUAUAGACGAGAUGCCCGUGAUCAGUUGUAGUGCCGACUGCAACCCUCCGUGUAAAUAUAAAUGGGGGAGAACUACUUCCCCAGUUCUCGACUUGGGUAUAACUGGACGCCAAGAGGCAGGCACACACACAUGUCAAGCCUAUAACAAGAUAGGGACCGCUUCCGCGUCCAUCAACGUCAAAGUCAGAUAUCCCCCUGACAUAGUGGAGAACGGGGGAAAAGGGGCAGAGGAAGGGGAGGAAUACUGGUCAAGAUGCAUUGCUAGAGGGAUUCCGGCCAACUACACAUAUCAUGAAUGGUACCAAGUGUAUGAAGAUGGUGGACCGAGAGUCCAGACCGGAAACUUGACCAGUACAGGAUGGAUGCACGUGUCUGACCUUUCCUAUAUGCAUAACGGAAUGUAUUACUGCUCCGUAUCGAAUGGCGUCGCGACCCCUGAAGGUCAGGCUAUCACCACGGGGCCCAUGGGGGCACUUAGGGUCAAUGGUCCCCCUCAUGAUCUCCAGUCUCUCUACACAAAGACGGGAAUCUUAGGUUCAACUGUUAUGUUCCUCGCAGACUUCUUCCAGUUUUCUCAAGGUCAGAUCACAGUCAUGUGGUACAACGUGACCUCAGGAGAGGUCGUAACCCCAAGGCGAGGCAACAUCACGUUGGAAACCAUCUCUUCUUACAAAACAAAGUUCUAUUCAACUGACGUCACCACAUCCGGUUAUCGUAUCGUGGCAACCAUCAGUGAGAUCACUGCCUGGGAUUUCGGCUACUACGUUGUACAUUUGGAGAGCGUGGGACAGAAAAGGGUGGUACACCUGCGAGUCGAUAGAGAGGGAGAAACGGCAAGUGUGACAUUGAAUGGAUGGCUCGUUUCCACUAUAAUAUUGCUGCUAGUGUUGGCGGGGUGUGUACUGAUCGUUGUGUGGGUCUACAGGCGAGGUGUCUUGCCGAGAUGUGGAAAGGAAAAAGAAAAAGAUACAUCAAGUGGAGUCGGGGAUACCGAUGUCCAAAAUUACAGCGAUUCUCCAACGAUCGAUGCGGUGACGUAUGAUCCAAGUGUCUACACAUCUCUCCAAAUACGGCAAGGGGUGGUACCAGAAAAUCCCUAUGGUAACGUACAAAGCGAGCCCGAACAUACCUACGAGUGUUUAAAAGCCAAAGGAAAUAUUGGUCACAGAUCACCUGAAGCUGCACCCGCAGAAGAACAGGAAUUACCUUCCGCCACAGACACUAGCCUAUAUCAGAAUGUGAAUGUUACAAUGGAAAAUCAAAAAAAAAUACGUAAACCGCCCAAGCCCCAUUCCAAACCGAAACUGCAGCUACCAAAGAAAUCUAAGAACAAACAAAAUACUGAAGGUGAGUGUACGUUAUGUACAUUUACUGCGAGACUGGCUCCGCUUCUACCUUUAUUUCAUAUGGGUGGAACUAUCUUUGUGUUUGAUAACGUUUUAUCAUAAUUUUGUUGUUAAGUUUUCGCAUUGAACAUGAUUUCCGUAUGGGAUGACGUCGUGUUUGUCAUGACACCACUACAAGAACAUUUCUAGAGAUCGUAAAUGUAUUCUCUCACACUGUUAAGAAUCUUUUGUUUUGUCUAAGAAAACCUGUUUGAUCUCAACUUUACGUGAAACUUGCCGCCUUAGCGAGAAAAUGAGAGGAAGGUACGAAAUAAAGGAAAUCUAACCAACAAGAGGAGCGGUCGGAAAACUUGAAAUACUGAAAUAGCAGUAUGAAAAAACACUGAAAAAAACACUGAACACUGAAAACACUGAAAAAUUAACAAAUUUUAUAGAAAUAUAGGGUUUUCUACAGGAAAUCGGCUUUCAAAUGAUUUUUGUCUUCCAAAGUCUCCUUUGGACUAAAUUGACAUAUAACGAUCUAAGGUCAUUCUGAUUAUUGCCCUUUGCAGUUCAAUCAUGCAAAGACAGAAUUUUCCUACAGUUCUCUUGAUAGAAAACCAAACCUUAAUGAUAACAUUAAAUAUCUGCGAUUCAUUUUACACUAGCCUGUUUUCACGGCUCUUCGGUAGCUCGGAAUUUAUUAUCCUUGAACUCUCUCUUUCUCGAUAUUAACAUCCCUACUUCCGGACUUACGGUGUUUAAAUAUCGCAGUUGAUUCGGUAUUUAAGUGCUUGUUCCGAAUAUAAUGAUUUUCGAUGAUAUAUAUCGACUGCUGACGGUUCACCUGAUCUGAUUCCCUUGUACUUGUUCAAGGGUCUUUAUGUUAAUCUUUCAUUUAUUCAUCAUUGGUGCCGCUUGUUCUCGAUUUUUAGUUCGAAUUCAAUUUUGUUGACAGUUACAUUUUUUUUUCUAUUUGCCUUUUUUCAUAAAAAAACAUUGAUAACAUUAGAUAUGUCAAAUUCAAACAUUCUACCAUACUUCAGAUAUUAAGAAUUUUGAUGACAUUAGAAUAACAUAUAAUAAAUACCGAAGUGUCAGCAUAACCAAAAUUGAUAAAUCUAGGGCAAAAUAUGAAAAAAGAAAAUAUUUAUACAGAAACCCUUGAGAACAAGAAGACCAUGUUUUCCGGAAGGUCAAUCGUCUUCUGCUUCUUCGAUGACACCAGCAAUGUAAAUUUAAGUCGAAUCCAAGUUAUGCCAAGCCUUCACAUCGAGAAUGAGAGGUUUUUAGGAAGGGUCCAUUUGUAUAGAUUAUCACCCGCUUUCAAUUUAAGGAUAACAUAUGAUGGAUUCUGUGACAGACUUGGCUAGAUUAUGGGCAAAAGGAGGACACACGAAGCAUGGAAUAGUUACUUUAAGAGUCAUUCAAACGGAGCCUUUAAAGAAACUGAAAAUAUGUGACAUAUUCAGAAGAGAUGGGACAGGAACAGUAAGGAUUUUAGCUGAAUUUCA